This 492-nucleotide ribosomal RNA is filed under the name uncultured bacterium. RNAcentral's name for it is "partial 16S ribosomal RNA". It matches the Rfam family "Bacterial small subunit ribosomal RNA", at positions 29 to 507 of the family's 1533-position model. The record is from RNAcentral.
AGUGAACGCUGGCGGUAGGCCUAACACAUGCAAGUCGAACGGCAGCACAGUAAAAGCUUGCUCUAACGGGUGGGAAGGGGGGGAGGGGGGGGGAAAAAUCGGGAAUAAACUUUUACGGGGGGGAUAAGGUAGGGAAAUUAAGGCAAAACCGGAAUAGAACCACCGGGGAAAAGAAGGGAUUCUUGGAACUUUGGGGAAUGGAAGAAGCCAAUGUCGGAUUAGCUAGUUGGCGGGGUAAAGGCCCACAAAGGCGACGAUCCUUAGCUGGUCUGAAAGGAUGAUCAGCCACACUGGAACUGAGACACGGUCCAGACUCCUACGGGAGGCAGCAGUGGGGAAUAUUGGACAAUGGGCGCAAGCCUGAUCCAGCCAUACCGCGUGGGUGAAGAAGGCCUUCGGGUUGUAAAGCCCUUUUGUUGGGAAAGAAAAGCAGCAGGUUAAUACCCCGCUGUUCUGACGGUACCCAAAGAAUAAGCACCGGCUAACUUCGUG